This 1476-nucleotide ribosomal RNA is filed under the name Triticum aestivum (bread wheat). RNAcentral's name for it is "partial small subunit ribosomal RNA". Lineage: Eukaryota; Viridiplantae; Streptophyta; Magnoliopsida; Poales; Poaceae. The record is from RNAcentral.
AUGCCGUCGACGGAGUCUCUGGAAUCCAGGGCAACCCGUCCGCUCCGCCACGGAAGCACCGCAGCCACGCCGGGGCCGGGGCUGGGGGUGACGACCCGGUCGAGGGCGCGCGCGCAGCAGGAAUCCCAAUCCCAAUAUGCCGCAAGGGCCAAGCUCCGCGAGGCGGAUGGGUGCAAGAAGAGGGCCAAGCUUGAUGGGACCAGCCAGCCGGAGAGCUCCAAGAAAGGGAAACCGUCCUCGACUACAGCCAAGAUAGUCAAAGUUCGGGUUGGGGGGACGAGGAUGAUGAUGGCUCUUCCUCUGCGUUCAGCUCUCCAAUUCGCGUGCCCGUGCCUGAAGAUUACAUGCCUUCAAACGGCGACAAUGGAGUUGCCCACGCUUUUUGAAGAUAUGCCUCCAAGUUGUCUGGUUGAUGAUCCAACGCUUCUUCACAUCCGUGAACCUGCAAGGAAGACGGUGCUUCGUGCUGCUCAAUUCGUUGUUGGGGUUUCAUCCUCGAUAGAUGGUGAGCCGCUAGCGCGGUGCUCUGGUUUCUGGAUUGAUUUUGAUAAUGAGAACAAAACCGGUACUGUUGUGACGACUGCACUUGUGAUUCGCACAAGGCACACAUCCAAAGGUGCUUGGCAUUGCAAAGAUCAGUAUGCUUGUGAUGCUAAGGUUUAUGUUGACUUGCGGGGUUACAAGGGUUACAUCAUGGCAGAGGGCCGCCUGCUCUACUACCAGAAGCACUAUAAUCUUGCUUUCUUCAGGGUGAGAGUGGAUUCAUCUGUUCAGUUACCCUCUUUUAGUGAUAAAGUGAAAAGUGCUCAAGACAUUUUUGAGCUUGGAAGAGAUGACUGUUUCAAUCUACUCAUAAAUCAUGGUAGAGUGGAAUAUUCAAAUCCAUCCAGGGAUGAGCGGUAUCACCACAUGUACAUUCAAGGUCCACAACGAGAUUGUAUGCAUGAUCUAGGAGGUCCUGUUAUUGACUUAGAUGGGAAGGUUGUGGGAAUGAUCGGCAGUUGUUCAGGAGGGCACAUACCUCGACCCCACCUUAGAUUGAAAUUUAAUGCCAUCAGCCUUUUAAACCCUGCUCAUGUUGAGCAUAUAUUGGUCGAGUGUGAGAUUGAUGAAGGUCUUAUUGUUACGGAGGUGUGUGAGGACUCUCCUGCCGAAAAAUGUGGAAUUCGAAACGGGGAUGUUAUUGAAUGUCUCAAUGGAAAACGCGUUUCUACUACUGUGGAGUUGGAAAACAUGUUGCUGAGCAUAAUGGAGAACAUUGGAGAUAACAUUAAUUCUGAUCUGGAUUUGGAGAUUCAGGUAUACUUCACGCGUACAGAACUUCGGAGAAUCAAAGUACUAACGGUGAAUGUAUCUGAAGACGGUGAAUAUUGUGAACCAUAUUAUGCAACACGUAUGCAUUUUGUCUCAGCCAAGUCUUAUUUAAAGAUGACCUAUAUUGUAUGUUCCAUGUUUCAAGUACAUCUUUGUCAUUAA